GGGGGUGUAGCUCAGUGGUAGAGCAUGUGCUUAGCAUGCAUGAGGCCCUGUGUUCAAUCCCCAGCAUCCA
RNAcentral lists this transfer RNA (70 nucleotides) under Marmota marmota marmota (Alpine marmot). It matches the Rfam family "tRNA". Rfam says of the family: Transfer RNA (tRNA) molecules are approximately 80 nucleotides in length. Their secondary structure includes four short double-helical elements and three loops (D, anti-codon, and T loops). RNAcentral also lists the same sequence under 3 other names. The record is from Rfam by way of RNAcentral. Lineage: Eukaryota; Metazoa; Chordata; Mammalia; Rodentia; Sciuridae.